Molecule: small nucleolar RNA, 63 nt
Organism: Trypanosoma theileri
Lineage: Eukaryota; Euglenozoa; Kinetoplastea; Trypanosomatida; Trypanosomatidae
Rfam family: Trypanosomatid snoRNA TB9Cs1H1
Source: Rfam
AGCACAGAAUUACAAGCCAGUACUGGCCAACUAAUGCCUUGCUGGUGCCGACACUGUGCAAGA